UACGUAGGGGGCAAGCGUUAUCCGGAUUUACUGGGUGUAAAGGGAGCGUAGACGGUGAGGCAAGUCUGAAGUGAAAUGCGGGGGCUCAACCCCUGAACUGCUUUGGAAACUGUUUUACUAGAGUGCAGGAGAGGUAAGUGGAAUUCCUAGUGUAGCGGUGAAAUGCGUAGAUAUUAGGAGGAACACCAGUGGCGAAGGCGGCUUACUGGACUGUAACUGACGUUGAGGCUCGAAAGCGUGGGGAGCAAAC
RNAcentral lists this ribosomal RNA (250 nucleotides) under uncultured prokaryote. RNAcentral's name for it is "partial 16S ribosomal RNA". It matches the Rfam family "Bacterial small subunit ribosomal RNA", at positions 524 to 773 of the family's 1533-position model. The record is from RNAcentral.